GCCGAUGUAGCUCAAUUGGUAGAGCGGCUGAUUUGUAAUCAGCAGGUUGCAGGUUCGACACCUGUCAUCGGCUCCA
This 76-nucleotide transfer RNA is filed under the name Caudoviricetes sp. Its description in RNAcentral is "tRNA-Thr". It matches the Rfam family "tRNA". From Rfam's summary of the family: Transfer RNA (tRNA) molecules are approximately 80 nucleotides in length. Lineage: Duplodnaviria; Heunggongvirae; Uroviricota; Caudoviricetes. The record is from RNAcentral.